RNAcentral lists this long non-coding RNA (307 nucleotides) under Lathyrus oleraceus (garden pea). RNAcentral describes it as "Pisum sativum (pea) long non-coding RNA (PSAT_LNC042312)". The record is from RNAcentral. Lineage: Eukaryota; Viridiplantae; Streptophyta; Magnoliopsida; Fabales; Fabaceae.
AAGUGCAAGCCAUGAGCCCAAACUCAAGCAUCAAACCCUACAACACAAAACCAAUGUUAGUUUACAACAUCAAACAAAACUCAAUUUACAACUUGCAUUGUUCUCCUUAAGGCUUUUGCAUUUCAACCUGAAAAUCCAAACCAAAUGUGAGAAACUAGACCACUAGGCCAAGCCUAGGGUCCAAAGGAGAUGAAAAAAUCAAAACAGCAAGUGAAAAUUAUCCAACAUCACACUUAAACAAAUCAGAAGCAAAUGCAAUUGGUCCCAUGCUCAUAUCAAUCACCAUUAUCAUUUUAUGCACAAAAUA